This 1269-nucleotide unclassified non-coding RNA is filed under the name Leishmania donovani. Its description in RNAcentral is "gene:LdHU3.32.1440(CDS-product:Maf-like_protein_p utative)". The record is from RNAcentral. Lineage: Eukaryota; Euglenozoa; Kinetoplastea; Trypanosomatida; Trypanosomatidae.
GCGCUGUCGACAGCGCCAGCAUAUACACAUCCAAGAAUAAGACACGAAUCGAUGUGGAAAAAAUGCAGAAGCCCAUCAUGAUUGUUGGAACGAGCGCGCCACGCCGCCGCGAGAUUGCGCAGCGCCGCUUUGGUUCCACCUACGAUCUGGUGUACCUAUCACCUGAUAUAGAUGAGAAAGAAAUCCGCGAUUCGGACCCUUUUACCCUGACGCGUGCGAUUGCGCAAGCGAAGAUGGACGAGCUUCGAGCCAAGGUGGCUCGCGACACCGCGCUGCAGGACCGUGUUGCUCAGCGGCCGGGCAGUGUCGCUGUGACCUUUGACCAGGUUGUCGACUACCACGGCGAGAUUCGCGAAAAGCCCGAGUCUGAGCAGCAAGCUGCGGCCUUCAUACAUUCAUACUCAAACGACAAUCUGGGCACUGUCAUGACGACCGUAUUGUAUGAUUUUGGGACGGGGAAGCAGGUAUCGAUGCCCAACACAACCCUCACAUUUUACGGCGAGAUCCCGGAUGAGACCGUGGCGCGUGUUGUCGAGCGCGGCGCUUGCCUGCGCGCUGCAGGCGGCUUUGUGGUGGAGGAUGUGGACAUGAAGCGGUGCGAGAUCAGGAUAGACCCUGGGACCGAGGAGGAGGUCUGCGGCUUUUGCGAGAAGUCUGUUCGUGCUCUACUGGAGGACGUGCACAGGUCGUGGGUGCAGGGUGACCGCUGCAGCGGUGGAAAAGGGUGAGAGGUGAGGGCUGCGGGCACGCAAUGUCGAGGCAGCGGCAAAGGUACUCCGCAGCGGCCUGCGGAGCGCUCCCACACGUUCUCGGCGACCCCACCCCACCCCACGUAUCCGUCGCUGAAACGUGUAUCGUCCUUUGCUGUUCUUCAUAUUGUUUGGGGAAGAAGCGAUUCCGCGCGCUCUGGCUCGUUCCCUUAGCGUGCGCUAGGACCGAUUUCGACUGCCGCCAGAUGACCCGGAAAGGGAAAAGACCAAAAGGAGGCACAACAAACAAGAACCACAACAGAAGUGCUAAUUGGAGCUAAAGCCGGGGCAGGGGUGCUGUGAAGUACACGAUUAUGCCCACGUUGUACACGUGGGAGCGCCUGAUGCGGCCAUCCUAUCUCCCUCCUUUUCUGCGUUCAUAGCCCAUGCACCUCAUCAGAUCGAAUCUAGAGGGCUAUUGAUUGUCUUGGUGCUUCUCGCGUGCAUGUUGCUACUCGCCGUUUCACUUUUCGGUGUCCUGUGUGUUUGGUAAGCGAUGACGCACGCUGUUUCUCAACCC